GUUCCCGCAACUCCCCCCA
RNAcentral lists this unclassified non-coding RNA (19 nucleotides) under Chlamydomonas reinhardtii. RNAcentral describes it as "small RNA Cre_2082". The record is from RNAcentral. Lineage: Eukaryota; Viridiplantae; Chlorophyta; Chlorophyceae; Chlamydomonadales; Chlamydomonadaceae.